GCUCAUUCAUCGAUAAUCCUUUAAUGCUGUUAAAAUGAGUGGGUAGAAGAGGGCCCUUUAAUUAUCGAUUAUAAGAAGAUUUGACCUUUAUGAUCCUCUUCUAUUAUCUUGUGAUAGUAUAUCUUUGGUGAAGUUGGUGGUGCAAGACUUUGAAAUGCAUGAAAAGAAAGAAGGGGCAGUUACCUAUCUGUAACUGUCCCCUAGACCUAUUGUAUUUAUAAUAAAAAUACAUUAGAAGCCCAUAAUUCCUUUGUAUCAGAAGGGAUGUUUGUUUGCAAAGGGUUUUAAAAGGGUAGGUGACUCAAGUCUCUAAGUUUACCAAAACCUAUAAUAA
RNAcentral lists this long non-coding RNA (334 nucleotides) under Bos taurus (domestic cattle). RNAcentral describes it as "long non-coding RNA NONBTAT025647". Lineage: Eukaryota; Metazoa; Chordata; Mammalia; Artiodactyla; Bovidae. The record is from RNAcentral.